RNAcentral lists this ribosomal RNA (489 nucleotides) under uncultured bacterium. RNAcentral describes it as "bacterial SSU rRNA". It matches the Rfam family "Bacterial small subunit ribosomal RNA", at positions 28 to 507 of the family's 1533-position model. The record is from RNAcentral.
GAUGAACGCUAGCUACAGGCUUAACACAUGCAAGUCGAGGGGCAUCAGGAAGAAAGCUUGCUUUCUUUGCUGGCGACCGGCGCACGGGUGAGUAACACGUAUCCAACCUGCCCUUUACUCGGGGAUAGCCUUUCGAAAGAAAGAUUAAUACCCGAUAGCAUAAUGAUUCCGCAUGGUUUCAUUAUUAAAGGAUUCCGGUAAAGGAUGGGGAUGCGUUCCAUUAGGUUGUUGGUGAGGUAACGGCCCACCAAGCCUUCGAUGGAUAGGGGUUCUGAGAGGAAGGUCCCCCACAUUGGAACUGAGACACGGUCCAAACUCCUACGGGAGGCAGCAGUGAGGAAUAUUGGUCAAUGGGCGAGAGCCUGAACCAGCCAAGUCGCGUGGAGGAAGACUGCCCUAUGGGUUGUAAACUCCUUUUACCUGGGAAUAACGGGCGCUACGUGUAGCGCUGUGCAUGUACCGUAUGAAUAAGGAUCGGCUAACUCCGUG